RNAcentral lists this ribosomal RNA (301 nucleotides) under uncultured bacterium. RNAcentral's name for it is "partial 16S ribosomal RNA". It matches the Rfam family "Bacterial small subunit ribosomal RNA", at positions 509 to 809 of the family's 1533-position model. The record is from RNAcentral.
CAGCAGCCGCGGGAAUACAGAGGGUGCGAGCGUUAAUCGGAUUUACUGGGCGUAAAGCAUGCGUAGGCGGCUUUUUAAGUCGGAUGUGAAAUCCCUGAGCUUAACUUAGGAAUUGCAUUCGAUACUGGGAAGCUAGAGUAUGGGAGAGGAUGGUAGAAUUCCAGGUGUAGCGGUGAAAUGCGUAGAGAUCUGGAGGAAUACCGAUGGCGAAGGCAGCCAUCUGGCCUAAUACUGACGCUGAGGUACGAAAGCAUGGGGAGCAAACAGGAUUAGAUACCCCAGUAGUCCCUGUCUCUUAUAA